UUAAUUGAAGCCAAAAAUUUGAGGCCUAUCACUGUUAAUGAUAUCAUUGGAUAAAAAUCCCAAUUAAA
Molecule: transfer RNA, 68 nt
Filed under: Cerdistus sp. LRC-2002
Lineage: Eukaryota; Metazoa; Arthropoda; Insecta; Diptera; Asilidae
Description: tRNA-Asn
Source: RNAcentral